GACGAACGCUGGCGGCGUGCUUAACACAUGCAAGUCGAACGGUGAAGCACCUUCCUUUUGGUGGGUGUGGAUGAGUGGCGAACGGGUGAGUAACACGUGAGUAACCUGCCCCCUUCUUCUGGAUAACCGCAUGAAAGUGUGGCUAAUACGGGAUAUUCUGUGCCUGCUGCAUGGUGGGUGUGGGAAAGAUGCGCUUUUGGGUGUUUUUGGUGGGGGAUGGGCUCGUGGCCUAUCAGCUUGUUGGUGUGGUGAUGGCCUACCAAGGCGGUGACGGGUAGCCGGCAUGAUAGGGUGGACGGUUACACUGGGACUGAGACACGGCCCAGACUCCUACGGGAGGCAGCAGUGGGGAAGAUUUCACAAUGGGCGCAAGCCUGAUGCAGCGACGCCGCGUGAGGGAUGGAGGCCUUCGGGUUGUAAACCUCUUUCGCCAGUGAAGCAGGCCUGUCCCUUGUGGGUGGGUUGACGGUAGCUGGAUAAGAAGCGCCGGCUAACUACGUG
This 501-nucleotide ribosomal RNA is filed under the name uncultured bacterium. RNAcentral describes it as "partial 16S ribosomal RNA". It matches the Rfam family "Bacterial small subunit ribosomal RNA", at positions 28 to 507 of the family's 1533-position model. The record is from RNAcentral.